AGAGUUUGAUCCUGGCUCAGGACGAACGCUGGCGGCGUGCCUAAUACAUGCAAGUCGAGCGGACUUAAAAAGCUUGCUUUUUAAGUUAGCGGCGGACGGGUGAGUAACACGUGGGCAACCUACCUGUAAGACUGGGAUAACUUCGGGAAACCGGAGCUAAUACCGGAUAAUCCUUUCGUGCACAUGCAGGAAAGUUUAAAAGACGGUUUACGCUGUCACUUACAGAUGGGCCCGCGGCGCAUUAGCUAGUUGGUGAGGUAACGGCUCACCAAGGCGACGAUGCGUAGCCGACCUGAGAGGGUGAUCGGCCACACUGGGACUGAGACACGGCCCAGACUCCUACGGGAGGCAGCAGUAGGGAAUCUUCCGCAAUGGACGAAAGUCUGACGGAGCAACACCGCGUGAGUGAUGAAGGUUUUCGGAUCGUAAAACUCUGUUGUUAUGGAAGAACAAGUACAAGAGUAACUGCUUGUACCUUGACGGUACCUAACCAGAAAGCCACGGCUAACUACGUGCCAGCAGCCGCGGUAAUACGUAGGUGGCAAGCGUUAUCCGGAAUUAUUGGGCGUAAAGCGCGCGCAGGCGGUUUCUUAAGUCUGAUGUGAAAGCCCACGGCUCAACCGUGGGAGGGUCAUUGGAAACUGGGGA
This 648-nucleotide ribosomal RNA is filed under the name uncultured marine bacterium. RNAcentral describes it as "bacterial SSU rRNA". It matches the Rfam family "Bacterial small subunit ribosomal RNA", at positions 8 to 639 of the family's 1533-position model. The record is from RNAcentral.